Molecule: non-coding RNA, 3145 nt
Organism: Phoenix dactylifera (date palm)
Lineage: Eukaryota; Viridiplantae; Streptophyta; Magnoliopsida; Arecales; Arecaceae
Source: RefSeq, a predicted model, not a curated record
GUGGUCCAACCACACCGGCGUCCCCAACAUUCUACUACGCCGACAAAAUAAUAAUAAUAAUAAUAAAGUACUUGUUGUCGUCUCGUUUUCCAUCCCAACCCUCCGAGAUCUUUUUAUUUUUUUUAUGUUGUUGCGUGUGUGGCCCCUGUCCAGCUCGACACUCGCGUCGGGAGGACGCGACGGUCCCCGUCCACCUGGAAUCCGGUCAAAUCCCUCACCGACGAUGAGCCAUCCAAGAAAAAGAGAGGGAUGCGGGAUUCGCCAAUUGAUUGCAACCUGGGGUGGCCGUUCAUGGCCUCGUCCAGGCCAUCCCGACCUACUUCGAAAAUCUGCCAACCGAAGGGGAAGCACGAUCUCUGGAGACGAGCGCAAGAUUAUUGCGGCUUCAAAGAACCGCUUCUUGUUUAUGUCAUCGAUAAUCUGGCGCGGAACCUUCAGGUGUUCGAUCCCCGGUGCAAGAGAAGCAAUAAAAAACGCUGUCAUGAACCACUGGUUGUUUCUACUUCUAAUGACCCUUCUAAAUUUGACCUAUUUCUCACGAAUAUGGGGUUUGCGAGGGUUUCGCCACAGAAGCCCCCAAGUGGGUUGUCAAACAUACCACUUUCUAAUGUCAAGCGGUUGCGGUUCGCACUUCCAGCUGUUUCCUUGACGGAGCUGGUCGAGUUAACCUCGCAGUCGAGACGAUCCUCGAAAGAGCAUCUGAAAAGAAGAAACUAUUCUCUGUUCAGGAUUUCUUUCAGAGGCAGAAGGUGAUUUUGCAGUAGCAUGCCUUCUAAAUUUUGUGACACUUGCAUGAUGGCAUAUGAUUAGCUUCAUACUGAUGGAGCUAAGAAAAUUGCUACAGGAAGGCGACUUUUUGAGGAGCUGUACUUGAAGACCUUGAAAUUGCUAUGAGAAGGGAAGACUACAAAGGAAGUGUGCUAGAGAAUUUUUGUGCCACACUAGAUAACACUAGAUGAGAAUUUUUGGGUGGAAACAAUUUUUUUCCUUGAUGGAGGAGGAGCCAACAUCACUGACAAAUGCUGGCCUUCCUAUAAAAGAAGUUAAUGAUAUUGCUAUGAUGCUUUAUCUGAAUGCAAAUGCUGGCGGAUCUAUUUCUUGUAGCCAUUUUUGGAAUUUCAUGCUGCUUCUUCCUUUGGAGCGCCUUGAAGAUGAUCCUCGGUAUGUUAAAAGAAGUUCUCAUAUAUAAUAUCUCCCAUUCCAUGUUGUCCCACUUCUAAUCGGCCCAAUUUUCAGCAAAACAUUUCAUUCAAACACUUUUAUGUUAAUAUCAAUUUUGUAUAUGAAUAAUAAACCAUAAUACAGGUAAUCAAUAACUUCACCAAAAUUGAUGCGUCUUUUUCUUUCUUUUUUCAGUCCUUUGUUUUUGUUGAAUACAUAGUGAGUAGGACCCACCAUUUUGGAGAUUCCUUUACCCGACAUUCAUACAUACAUCAAUGUUUACAAUCUUUGAGGUUAAGAAUACUUUCACACACACGGAGAAACAUACUAACGCAUACAAAUGCAUGCAUAGCUACAAAGAUGUAAAUGUGCUGAAUUGUCCCAAACCUACCAUGCUGGAUUAUGCAUACUAUCUGAACAUAUCCAUUUUUGAACAUUUAUGGUUCACCUAUUCUUUGGGGCCAAAUGUUUGUUGAUAUUGUAAAGAUAUUUUAAUCAAGCUGUGCAGGAACGUAUCAUAUAUUACACUUGACUGUUUGAAGCAGCCACAGUUGUUUCUGAUUCACCACCUGUGGAAAUAGCUGCUGGAGAUGUUCUAACAUCCGCAUUGGCAGGAUUCCUUGCAGGUGCACUUUCUACUUGUGUGUUGCAUCCUCUUGAUACCAUGAAGGCAACGCUCUCUCGCUCGCUCGCUUUCUUGAUUUGUGUAUGUGAAUUAGUUCAAGGUCCUACAUACACUUCUUAUUGAACCAUGUGAAUGUUAGCCACCUCUUAGUAUGGAAAAAUGAUUAAAAAAUAAGUCACAGAAUGGACUGAUCGACUAAGUUAAUUAUCAUUUAGUUUUGAAUAUGGACUUCAGUCUGAGGGGCAUACUAGUCAUUCAACCCAUGGUAUGAUAUGUUAGUUGGUUUGAACUUGGAAUAAUGUUUGAAACCCUAACUGGAUGGUAUCAUCCCUUCUGUUAAAGUUCGUCUUAUUUUCUUUUCUGAAUUGAUAUAAUCUGAAAGAAAGUUGAGAUGAUAUUUGUCUUUGUUUUUCUCUAGCACAUUACCAUCACCUUGCAGGUCUGGUUUUUUAACUUACGAUGCAUACAAGCUCGUUGUAGGAUCAGUAGGUGCCAUUCGCAUAUGGAAGGAAUGAUGUUAGGUUGAAAUGCCUGUUGGAAGAUUAUACUCUUAAUAAACCCUACUUAGAAUUAUACACUUAUAAUUUGUUUAUUUCUUUGUGAUUCAGGUGCAAUAUGGAUCAACCAAUACCGACUUCAGUUUUCUGCAUACACCGUUAAUGCUUUUCGUCAAAAUUCUCUCUUCAAACUGGAACAGCUUUGGGUCCCUUGGCUGAGGCAGAGCAAUGUUCAGUAAUAACAGUGCAUGAUCAGAGGCAAUGUGCUCCAGAUGCUGUUCAACUGCUCUCCAAACCUUAUUCAUAGCUUCCCUAUUAUGGCACCAAGUAAAACAGUUGCUAGUGAAACCAAGUCCAACGAAGCAGAACUAUCAACAAACUGUCAAAACUGAUGAACCUUGGGAGUCACCUGAAAUGGGCAUCCCUCUUUCUUAUCAUGGGCAUCCAAGAUACAUUAAAAUCACCUGUAACACUAGUUCAAAGAGCAGCAGUAAUCACUUGGAAGAUCUGUUAUAAUUGCUGGAAGGACUUCUACUAAUAUACUUAUGAGGAUCUAUGCAGGCGUGUUUAGUCCUAUAUCGACUAUGCAUUAGGUAUAUCUUGGAUACUUACAUAGGACCAAGAAAUCCAAAUAAUAUUUUUUGGCUAGUCUUUUUAGAUGAAGUCUUGGGUUAUUUCAAAUGGUAUCAGAGCAGACUCGGUCCAUAAUCUUUGUGGAUUAGGAUGACACUGCAGUAUAUGCCUAUCGGGCUAACCAUGGGCCGAUCGUGUUAUUUGUGAUUGGAUUUGUUGUAUUUAUGAAUAUAUUCGCAUUUAUUUGAACUCUUAGUCUGGUAAGAAGAUCAGGACUUAAAUGAGAAGA